UGGAGCAAAUUGCAUGUGGAAAAAAAAAAUAGAAAAGAAGAAGAAGAAAAGAAGUAGUGGUGGAAAGAUGACACACAAUGAUAACAACACAGUUGUUGAAGAUUCCAAAUCAAUUUUGUCUU
Molecule: non-coding RNA, 122 nt
Filed under: Heterosigma akashiwo
Lineage: Eukaryota; Raphidophyceae; Chattonellales; Chattonellaceae
Source: RNAcentral